UAAUACGGGCGGAGCGAGCGUUGUUCGGAAUUAUUGGGUGUAAAGGGUGCGCAGGCGGUCGAUUAAGUCGAAAGUGAAAUGUCCACGGCUCAACCGGGAAUCUGCUUCCGAUACUGGUCGACUUGAGUGCGGGAGGGGAGCGUGGAAUUCCUGGUGUAGCGGUGAAAUGCGUAGAUAUCAGGAGGAACACCUGUGGCGAAGGCGACGCUCUGGCCCGUAACUGACGCUCAUGCACGAAAGCCAGGGGAGCGAACGGGAUUAGAUACCCCGGUAGUCCUGGCCGUAAACGUUGGGCGCUAGGUGUGGGGGGUAUCGACCCCCUCCGUGCCGUAGCUAACGCAUUAAGCGCCUCACCUGGGGAGUACGACCGCAAGGUUG
This 378-nucleotide ribosomal RNA is filed under the name uncultured bacterium. RNAcentral's name for it is "bacterial SSU rRNA". It matches the Rfam family "Bacterial small subunit ribosomal RNA", at positions 521 to 896 of the family's 1533-position model. The record is from RNAcentral.